CAGCAGCCGCGGUAAUACAGAGGGUGCGAGCGUUAAUCGGAUUUACUGGGCGUAAAGCGUGCGUAGGCGGCUUUUUAAGUCGGAUGUGAAAUCCCUGAGCUUAACUUAGGAAUUGCAUUCGAUACUGGGAAGCUAGAGUAUGGGAGAGGAUGGUAGAAUUCCAGGUGUAGCGGUGAAAUGCGUAGAGAUCUGGAGGAAUACCGAUGGCGAAGGCAGCCAUCUGGCCUAAUACUGACGCUGAGGUACGAAAGCAUGGGGAGCAAACAGGAUUAGAUACCCGUGUAGUCCCUGUCUCUUAUAC
RNAcentral lists this ribosomal RNA (301 nucleotides) under uncultured bacterium. RNAcentral's name for it is "partial 16S ribosomal RNA". It matches the Rfam family "Bacterial small subunit ribosomal RNA", at positions 509 to 807 of the family's 1533-position model. The record is from RNAcentral.